Long non-coding RNA from Oreochromis aureus, 1105 nucleotides. The record is from Ensembl. Lineage: Eukaryota; Metazoa; Chordata; Actinopteri; Cichliformes; Cichlidae.
UCUUUACAGUUAAGCAUCGAUUCAGAUGUUAACAUCGUAUCAAAAAGUUCAUGCUAACACAGGAAAUGAGCUGAAAAUCAAUUAUCGAUGCACAAUAUAGUUUUAGCAUUGCUACAUGACUGGAUCAGACCCACAAAAUCAACUCAGGGGAUAAACUGUCAGAUUCAUUUCUAAGAAGCUGUGAGAAAAUUAAUUGGAUAGGACUUCAAAUGCUACAAAGGGGAACAGACUAAAAAAGGUCAGGGUUUAUUGAUUUGCAUGUUUCUAUUUGUCAAGUAUUUGUUUAUCGUGUUAUACUUUAGAGAGCGGAGUCUGCCCCAUGAAGGGAAAGUGAACAAAGAGAGAUAGGCAGUGAAGCAGGCAGCAGUACUGUCGGAUGUGGCUGUUUAUGCUCCCCGUCACGCACGCAAGAACCACAGAUGCGCACUGCAAACACAGGGGGACACACAAUUUGAUAUGGCGCUCGCACACACUUGCAGUGACACACACAUCCCACACUCAGCAGUAGACAGCAGGGUCCUGUCUCCGAUCACAGCAGAGCGUGGAUCUGCAGCAUGACUGCUGUAGACUUCGUGUGUGCUGCUCCCGUCUGAGCGGCUGCCGCAGAUUUGCCUGCGAGGCUAGAGAGGGGGCCGCGACACCCAGGAGACUCAGUCCAUUCACAUUACCCACUGUGGGAGAAGCUGUGUGUUGGGCCGGGAAUGGGAGAGAGAAGGAGGGUGAGAAGCAAAGAAGAGCAGGAAGACAAUGGAGGAAGAAAAUAAAAAGAAACUGUGUGUGAAGAUAUAAGGGCAUGCCAGCAGGGGAGACCUGGUUUGUCAUCUAUGGUUCUGGGGUUGCUGCAGGGCUGCUGAGGCUUUCAGCCACCUUGAAAGUGCUUAGUAUCGCCCUUCUGACACAUGAAAUAACACAUAGGCACCCAUACACAUGCACAAAAACACCUCUGUACUUUUCAUUAUUCCCAGAGUUGAAGGCAUAUCAAAGAAAUACCAGGGGGCUUGCUGCUAGCGUGUCACCAGGGUGGACGCUGGCUGUCACACACAAAUGCAGACACACAGAAAUGGACGCCUGGCUAAUGCCUUUUCUGUUUCUAUCUGCGGGCUGC